CAGUAUACAAUUGGACCGUGGAUGAGGUGGUACAGUGGCUGAUCACAUAUGUGGAGCUGCCUCAGUAUGAGGAGACCUUCCGGAAGCUGCAGCUCAGUGGCCAUGCCAUGCCAAGGCUGGCUGUCACCAACACCACCAUGACAGGGACUGUGCUGAAGAUGACAGACCGGAGUCAUCGGCAGAAGCUGCAGCUGAAGGCCCUGGAUACAGUGCUCUUUGGGCCUCCUCUCUUGACUCGCCAUAAUCACCUCAAGGACUUCAUGCUGGUGGUGUCUAUCGUUAUUGGUGUGGGCGGCUGCUGGUUUGCCUAUAUCCAGAACCGUUACUCCAAGGAGCACAUGAAGAAGAUGAUGAAGGACUUGGAGGGGUUACACCGAGCUGAGCAGAGUCUGCAUGACCUUCAGGAAAGGUUCGGGAGGCCUUGAGGAAAGCAGAGAAGGAGCUAGA
This 447-nucleotide small RNA is filed under the name Pan troglodytes (chimpanzee). Its description in RNAcentral is "processed transcript". Lineage: Eukaryota; Metazoa; Chordata; Mammalia; Primates; Hominidae. The record is from RNAcentral.